GAUGAACGCUAGCGGCAGGCCUAACACAUGCAAGUCGAGGGGCAGCACAUAAAGUGGUUUACUACUUUUGGUGGCGACCGGCGGACGGGUGCGUAACGCGUAUGCAACCUGCCUCCAACAGGGGGAUAACGGAGAGAAAUUUCUACUAAUACCCCAUAAUAUCAGAAUCGGCAUCGGUUUUGGUUGAAAACUCCGGUGGUUGGAGAUGGGAAUGCGUUGUAUUAGAUAGUUGGUGAGGUAACGGCUCACCAAGUCAACAAUACAUAGGGGGACUGAGAGGUUAGCCCCCCACACUGGUACUGAGACACGGACCAGACUCCUACGGGAGGCAGCAGUGAGGAAUAUUGGUCAAUGGGGGCAACCCUGAACCAGCCAUGCCGCGUGCAGGAAGACGGCUCUAUGAGUUGUAAACUGCUUUUACAAGGGGAUAAAGCGGUGUACGUGUACACCGUUGAAGGUACCUUGGGAAUAAGGAUCGGCUAACUCCGUGCCAGCCGCCGCAGUAA
This 506-nucleotide ribosomal RNA is filed under the name uncultured bacterium. RNAcentral's name for it is "partial 16S ribosomal RNA". It matches the Rfam family "Bacterial small subunit ribosomal RNA", at positions 28 to 523 of the family's 1533-position model. The record is from RNAcentral.